RNAcentral lists this small nuclear RNA (104 nucleotides) under Octopus sinensis (East Asian common octopus). The record is from RNAcentral. Lineage: Eukaryota; Metazoa; Mollusca; Cephalopoda; Octopoda; Octopodidae.
AUUUCAUGGGCGGAAGAUAUUCUGAAAUUGGAACGAUACAGAGAAGAUUAGCAUGGCCCGUGCACAAGGAUGACACGCAAAUUCGUGAAGCGUUCCAUAUUUUU